This is a long non-coding RNA of Corvus hawaiiensis (hawaiian crow), 1662 nucleotides long. RefSeq lists it as uncharacterized. The record is from RefSeq and is a predicted model, not a curated record. NCBI's taxonomy places the organism in Eukaryota, Metazoa, Chordata, Aves, Passeriformes, Corvidae. The transcript has 4 exons.
CUGCCCUGGCACAGCCUCCCCGAGCCCUGCCCUCCACGCUUCUCCAGGGGCGCUGACACCGAGUGCUGUGCUGUGGCCAGAGAGCCGUGAAUAAACCCAACCUGUGGGAGCUGUGUCACCAACCUGGCUGUCCCAAUUUUGUGAAGUCCUUGGAUGAAUUUGCUGCAGGGUGGAGGCCGGGCCGAAGGACUCUUGAAGGAACAGAGGAAAUAAAAGGGCAAAACAUCAGGCUAAAAGUCCAAACGUUUGGUCUCAAAUCACUGACUGAAGGUAGUACCAGUCUGCUGGUAUCUGUCCUGAGACACAAGAAAAACAAGGAGCUGAACAUCAGAGGCCAACCCAUUGAAAAAUCACAAAUCCAGUCACAAAAGGAAAAGCCUGAAUGAGCCCAGAUCAGCAGGACCUAAGAGGACAGAGGGAGCACUUUGGAUCCAUUCCUUAGCCAAGCUGGUGCAGCCUGCAGGCCUCGUGGGGAGCUCUUUCCCUCCCAGCUCUUUCUGCCAGAGCUGAUGGUCGAGUUGGAGCCGCUGUUGCUCACUGCAGAGGGCAGUUUGUAGGUCCCAGAUUCCAUCUGAUCGACCUCUCCAAGAGGGCUGUCCUGCAUGGGAGGAAGAGACAGAGGGAGAGCCUGUGAUCAUUAGGCGGGUGCAAUCCCUCUGUCUCUAGUUGCAUUUAUAGAGGUGUAGUUAUAUUCAUAGAUUUAUGUAGUUGAAUUUAAAUGUCUAGAUAGUUGUAGUUACAGAUCUGAGUAGUUAAAUAUAUAUUUGUAGUUGUAGAUGUAUAAAGUUAUUUUUUAUAUAUGUAGUUGCAUUUAAAGAUGUGAAGUUACAUUUAUAUAUGUAUAUAGUUAUAAAUGGGCAUAGUUAUAUUUAUAUAGCUAUAGGUAUAUGGAGCUUUAGAUAGAUUGAUAGAUAUUUGAAUAAAUACAGGCUGCUUUUUAAGCUCUUUCUCUACUCUGCUUCGUCUCUCACCUCUUGCUUUUGCCUCUGUGCCCCCUCUGUCCCCUCUUCCUGUGCUGGCUCCGAGCUGGCGGCCGGGCCGGGCGGAGCAGCAGCUGCAGCCCCGGUGUCCCUGGAGCGGUGGGAGCUGCCGGUGGCCGCAGGCACUGUGCCCUGAGGAGCUGCUGGAGGACGCUGCCCUGAGGUCCUUGAGAAGAGCCGGAGAGUGACGGGAGCCAGCAGGGAGAAGCUGAAGGCCGCCAGCAAGAGCAGCGAACGGGGACCUGCUGCUGCUGCCGCCCGAGACCCUGGGUGUCCCAUCUGCUGUCCCUGUCCAGGAGAGCUGCUCUGCGCGGGAGGAAGCGACAGAGGGAGAGGCUUUGAAGAUGGGGCGGCUGGAAUCCCUCUGCUUAUAGUUCUGCUUAUAGAUGAAUGGACUUGCAUGUAGAGCGUGAUAAUAUUAUUGAUAUUUACGUAUGUGCUAUUUGCAUAGGUAUAUUUCUAUGUGUAUGUUGUUACAUGAAUGGAUGUAGUUUCUAUAUAUGAAUGUGUAGAUAUAUACAUACAUGUUUCUCGUUACAUGUAUGUGUAUAUAUGUAUCUAAGUAUAUAUGUAUGUUGUCAUAUCUCUGUCCAGUUCUAUUUCCUGUUUAUACAGUUAUCUAGGUAUCUAUUUCUAGUGAUGUUGUUGUAGGUAUUUGGCUCUUUAAAUAGGUGCAUUGGUA